RNAcentral lists this long non-coding RNA (423 nucleotides) under Homo sapiens (human). RNAcentral describes it as "non-protein coding MIR133A1HG:5". Lineage: Eukaryota; Metazoa; Chordata; Mammalia; Primates; Hominidae. The record is from RNAcentral.
AGAAUAUAAGUUAGCCUCGUAGUGACCAUGUGGAAGUCCUGACCUCGCUUGCAGACUUGACCUCUGGAUGUGACAAGGUAGCUUCACUACAGCUCUACUAUUUAAUCCUGGAAACUAAAAACCAAAAAAAAAAAAAAAAAAAAUCUAAAAGCAAGAAAGAUGCAGACUAUUUCCUAAGAAGUCAGAAGAACCCAAUGUAUUCUGGAGGGCAAAGAAAAACAGGUGAGGUUCUGUGUUCACUGAUACAUCCCCUUCCUUCACCGGGCUCAUGAAAAGAAAUGCUGAAUCAGCAAAUAGAGUGAACGAACAAUCAAGAUGAGAUGGCUGCUGUUGAUGUGAUUCUCUAGGUUACUACCUUUCUUCCUGCUGCAAAUGCUGCAUGACACUAAGCUUACAGGUAACAGAGCACCAUAAGGCCUGUAC